RNAcentral lists this long non-coding RNA (2162 nucleotides) under Homo sapiens (human). RNAcentral describes it as "HSALNT0117017". The record is from RNAcentral. Lineage: Eukaryota; Metazoa; Chordata; Mammalia; Primates; Hominidae.
AUUCAGGGCCCAGCUCUGAAGUCGGAGGACAGUCAUGGUUCUAAUGCUCUCACUCAAGUCCAGGCCAGAGGUGAGGAAGAAAACGAGGAAGGAUGAAGGAAUAUUUCAGAAAUGGAAUUGGUGAGAUUUGGAGCAUCAUAAGGAACAGUAAGUGGCCUGUGCUGGUGGAUGGGAGAGGAGGAGGAAGCAGCUGCCAUCCUGUAUUUUCUGAAAGAUUUGAAGAAAAGGCAGCCAAGUUCACAUUUUGCUGAAGUCACAUCACUGAUCACUGUCCAGCCAUCCUAACCUAUCCGCUGCUGAGCUGGCUGCCAGCAGAUCUUUCCAGCAGCCCCGGGCAAGCACACACACAUAAGAGAGAAGCCUGAGUUUUAUGGUUUAGCAUCCAUGUCACCCAUAAGAAAUGCUUGUUCUGACUUUAGUCUCAGCACUAAGGAGGAAACAAUCACUCAAAUGCCAGGUUUCCCUUUGCACUGGAGGCCUGAGGAAGUCAAUAAGAAAGAAAGUCAAUAAGGUAGCCAAUAAGAAAACCUGGGCACCAUGGCAGGCACCUGUGGUCCUAUGGCCCCAGCACUUGGGGAGGCCAAGGCAAGAGGGUUGCUUGAGGCCAGGAGUUUGAGGCUGCAGGGAGCUAUGAUUGUGCCACUGCACUCCAGUCUGGGCAAUGUAGCAAGAUCCCAUCUCAAAAAAAAAAAAAGAAGAAAUUUGGUUUCACCUGCUUCACUGAGGCGAGGAAGUGAAGAGGUGAGAAGGGGAGUGUUAAACAGCCAACCCUACUGAAAAGGAAUUCCACAUGUCAAAGAAAAACAAACGCUGCACCACUUUGACAAGUAUUUCCAGUUAUUUACUCAAGAAAUCUUUUGAUUGAACAUUAGAUGGCAGAUGGCACAUCACAAAUAGUGAUAUAAGAUCCUUUUUACCAUCUGAAAUGUUCUCAGACAGAACAUAUUUUAUUCAACCAAAUGAGGAAAAUCUGCAAACACAAAUUAAUGUAAGUACAACCAGCUAUCUCUGGCUUCAGUAUUUGAAAAUGGUGAAAGCAUCUGUAGGGUCACUUUGGGUUCGGGGUCUGGAAAGGAUGUUCCUAGACAGGGAAAGAGCAGGGAAGAGCUUUCCUUCCCUCCCCCUAAUCUCCUAGGGGAUGUUUCUGUCUGUGUUAGCUUCCCAGGGCUGCUGUGACAAAAUACUAUACACCACUUAUUUUCUCACAGCUCUGGAGUCUGGAAGGCCCAUCUCAAGGUGUCUGCAGGCCAUGCUCCCUCGGGAGCCUUGGGAGGCUCCUCCCUGCCACGCUCAGCCUCUGGUGCCCCAGUGCUCCCUGGCUCAUGGCUGCUCCGCUGGCUGCUGCCUUGUCUCUGUGUGUCUGUCUUCUGCUCUCUUGAUAGGGACACCGGUUUUCUUGGGUUAAGGCCCACCCUAGUGACCUCAUCUUAACCUGAUGACAUCAGCAAAGAUCCUGAUUCCGAAGGUCACAUUCACAGGCGGGGGCGAGGGGGGGCGGGGUGAGGGCUUCAGAGAAUCUUCUCGGAGACAUAGUUAGAGCUGUAAUGCGUCCCCCGAGCUAUAAUGCGUCCCCCGAGCUAUAACGCGUCCCCCGAGCUAUAACGCGUCCCCCAAGGUACCCGCUGCCUCUGUUUAUUCCCGGCAGCCUCCACCACCGGCCCAGGGAGUUCAAUUGUGUAGGAAAAGCAAGGGGUCUACCUUUACCCUGAGCUACGAUCGGGGUCUUUUGAAAAAGGCUGCCCUUUAAGUGUAGCCCUGGACAGUGAUAAAGAAUGGCCACUGGACAAUGUCAGUGGCCUCUGAGGGCAGGAGGGGCCUCUUGGGCCCCCUGGGCAUCUUCAGUGACUCCCCUCAUGUCCAUCGCAGAGCCGGGGGAGACCUGGCUGGAACCACCCAUUUCAGAGGCUCUGAGAUCCCAGAGCCCACCCCUGAUUUUGGCACCUUUCCAGCCCCUUCUUCCUGACUCUGUCUCCCCCUGGGUCAUCACAGUCUCUAGUGUACCCCAGGCCAAUCAGACCCAAAUGCAGAACUCAGCCCCCUUCCCCUCUGCAUCCAAACAGAAAGUCCCCUCAAACCUUCAGCGUGCCAGGUGAAGGGUCUUAGGGCCUGAGAGGUUUCCGGAAGCAGUUAUGUCCAGAACUGUGAGCCCCUGCCUUCCCCAG